CGUAGUAGUUGACUCCGUGGCUACGAGGACGACGCUGGCGGCGUGGAUUAGGCAUGCAAGUCGGACGGUAGGGCUUUAUCGUAAGAUAGAGUUUGAGAGUGGCGAACGGGUGAGUAACACGUAGGAAUCUACCCUUAAGACGGGGACAACCCAGGGAAACUUGGGCUAAUACCGGAUGAGAGUGCGAGAGAUUGCAUUUAAAAGGAUGGCGAAAGUUGUCGCUUAGGGAUGAGCCUGCGGUCUAUUAGUUAGUUGGUGAGGUAAGAGCUCACCAAGGCGAUGAUAGAUAGGCGGCCUUAACGGGUGGUCGCCCACACUGGGAUUGAGAUACGGCCCAGACUCCUACGGGAGGCAGCAGUCGAGAAUAGUCUACAAUGGCCGGAAGGCUGAUAGUGCGACGCCGCGUGAACGAGGGAGCCCUUCGGGGUGUAAAGUUCUUUUCUAUACGAGCAGUGCUAUAUAUAUUCAAAGUAUAUAUAGAGGGAUAGUAGUAUAGGAAUAAGCAACGGCUAAACUCCGUGCC
This 523-nucleotide ribosomal RNA is filed under the name uncultured bacterium. Its description in RNAcentral is "bacterial SSU rRNA". It matches the Rfam family "Bacterial small subunit ribosomal RNA", at positions 1 to 509 of the family's 1533-position model. The record is from RNAcentral.